UACGUAGGGUGCGAGCGUUAAUCGGAAUUACUGGGCGUAAAGCGUGCGCAGGCGGUUAUGCAAGACAGAUGUGAAAUCCCCGGGCUCAACCUGGGAACUGCAUUUGUGACUACAUAACUAGAGUGUGGCAGAGGGAGAUGGAAUUCCGCGUGUAGCAGUGAAAUGCGUAGAUAUGCGGAGGAACACCAAUGGCGAAGGCAAUCUCCUGGGCCUGCACUGACGCUCAUGCACGAAAGCGUGGGGAGCAAACAGG
RNAcentral lists this ribosomal RNA (253 nucleotides) under uncultured bacterium. Its description in RNAcentral is "partial 16S ribosomal RNA". It matches the Rfam family "Bacterial small subunit ribosomal RNA", at positions 524 to 776 of the family's 1533-position model. The record is from RNAcentral.